RNAcentral lists this ribosomal RNA (153 nucleotides) under Streptomyces harbinensis. RNAcentral's name for it is "16S rRNA. Bacterial SSU". It matches the Rfam family "Bacterial small subunit ribosomal RNA", at positions 1 to 152 of the family's 1533-position model. Lineage: Bacteria; Bacillati; Actinomycetota; Actinomycetes; Kitasatosporales; Streptomycetaceae. The record is from RNAcentral.
CAUUCAUGGAGAGUUUGAUCCUGGCUCAGGACGAACGCUGGCGGCGUGCUUAACACAUGCAAGUCGAACGAUGAACCGGUUUCGGCCGGGGAUUAGUGGCGAACGGGUGAGUAACACGUGGGCAAUCUGCCCUGCACUCUGGGAUAAGCCCGG